This 1120-nucleotide long non-coding RNA is filed under the name Lotus japonicus. RNAcentral's name for it is "long non-coding RNA (LJAP_LNC000115)". The record is from RNAcentral. Lineage: Eukaryota; Viridiplantae; Streptophyta; Magnoliopsida; Fabales; Fabaceae.
UUAAAAACUCUGGGUAAAGGUGAGGUUGAAGAAUCCUCAUUUAGACCACCUCCAAGCUCUGUUUCUGGCUUCAUUUGCCAAUACCUAAGGUACUUACAAAAUGUAACUAAUUAGAAGAAAACCAUAAAAAAUGAUGGUUAUAAGUUAUAACCCUGAAGGCUAGUGGUAUGUAACAUAAACUAAUAAUAAAACUGCAUCCCCUAGUUGCAAAACUGGUAUAUACCAUUGUUAAUAAGAAGACACAAACUAAUAAUAAGAAAGCAUGAACUAAAUCAGCUCAAACUAGUUCUACCUUCACCACUUAAGAGGACAAUCCCAAUGGCCAUCAGCAGAGGAUGAAGAGUUUGCAGUUAAAAUACACAAGAAAAAUGAGGCAAACAAUUUCACUCCACAUAUUUACGAACAAUGGAAAAUCUAAAUCAUCCAAUACAAUGUUAUCAAACAAGAGAGGUUCCCAUCAACUUCAAAGUAAGGACCCUUCCAGUAUUCAAAUAACUACUACAAAAAGAGGUUGCAUGGGGCACAAGUAAAUCAAUUAGAGCAAUGAAGCAUGAAAUUGUACACUCACACACAUUUAGAUCGAGAGUACCAUGUCUACACUGACUGAUUUUCCAUCCUGAGCCAAAAUCUUAGUGCAAUCUUACAAAACAAAAAGUUAGAGGAAUUAGCAAUGAGGAUGAAGAAGAAACAUUAUUCAAAUCAAACAAAUUCAGCAGUUAAAUUCACAACAAUCAAUAGUAAGAAGAAACAAUAAGAAGCAGAGUGGGCGCAGAAAUAGGAAUUGAAAGGGGAAUUAGGGUUUGAUGGAACACUCAAUCGUGCUCGUAUAGUGGAAUCGAGAAACGGCGAGUUCCUUCGAUCUGUGGGGCCUAGAUCACCGCUGCGACAUAGGUUUCUAGUGGGCAACGAGGCAUGUUCAUCGGGGAAGGGAACAGUGUGGCCGCAGCCGCCACAAACGCCGUCGCCGCAACCGUCGAUAGCAGAGGGAAAUAGGGGUUCGGAGGAAGAAGAGUGAGGGCAAAGAGAAGGGAAGAGAGAGCGAGGGUGAGAAAUAUUGGAGGGAAACUGGUUCGCAAGAGUGAGAAAGAGGAAUGCUUCGUGGCACUGUAAGCCUUUUUUG